GGCCCCUCCUGGGAGAGGGAGAGAAAGAGACCCUGAACCGAUAAGAAACUUUUCACUGGUAGGAACUAGGUGUUCUAACUUUUUCCCUCUUUCCUCACUGUGCUGUUGACAUCUGAGAAGAAGAUAGCAGCUCGUUAUGUAGCAAGUUCACCCUGCGCUACAAUGAGGGUUGCGCUGGCCCCUGCAAGUGCAUGAUAUGCCAUGGCCUGAAACCAAGGAGGUGGGCUGAGUGCUGACAGAGAACAAAAAACAGCUACUCUAUCUUUCUCAAACAUCUUCAAGGUCUCUGGGGAGGAAUAAAUGCCCCUGAGGAGGUGUUUGCUUUAGGGAGACAGCUCUGGAGCUGUACAGGGUUCACAACAGCAGUGGAUUCGAGAGGGGUAUCUGCACUCGCUGUUCCUUUUUCCUAUGCAUAUACCGCUUUGAGAUCUAGCUUUAAAGAGGCAUAGGGCAUGGGAAAAUGGGGCUGCAGAGGUAUUUCACCGACCAAACUACCCCUGAUUGGUCAACUACCACAGCCCCGAGUUCUCCCUGUUGGACCUGAUCUAGAGGACUCCAGAAUAAAAAGACCGCAACAAGACCACACCCUGAACUCAGUGGAGAGACCAUACCUCGACCUGAGCCCUAGGACCAUGCCUCAGGACUACCUGGCUUGAUGACUCCUUGCUGUCCCCAGUCCACCUGGCAUUGCUGCUGCUCCAGUUCCAACUGUUCUGCCUGCGGCUAUGGAACCCUGACCUGUUCACCGGACGUGCUACCUGUCCCAGACCUGCUGUCCCAGACCUGCUGGAACCCUGACCUGUUCACCGGACGUGCUACCUGUCCCAGACCUGCUGUUUUCAACUCUCUAGAGACAGCAGGAGUGGUAGAGAUAC
Molecule: long non-coding RNA, 875 nt
Filed under: Salmo salar (Atlantic salmon)
Lineage: Eukaryota; Metazoa; Chordata; Actinopteri; Salmoniformes; Salmonidae
Description: lncRNA (ENSSSAG00000111668.1)
Rfam family: mir-202 microRNA precursor family (bases 394-469)
Source: RNAcentral